This 104-nucleotide ribosomal RNA is filed under the name Periophthalmus magnuspinnatus. The record is from RNAcentral. Lineage: Eukaryota; Metazoa; Chordata; Actinopteri; Gobiiformes; Gobiidae.
UUUUGUUGCUGUUUCAACCCUGACUUGUUAAGCAGGGUUGGGCCUGCUUAGUACUUGAAUGGGAGACCACAGAUGCCGCAGUGGGAAAGCAGUGGCUUCAAACU